This 322-nucleotide ribosomal RNA is filed under the name uncultured eukaryote. RNAcentral's name for it is "partial 18S ribosomal RNA". It matches the Rfam family "Eukaryotic small subunit ribosomal RNA", at positions 1470 to 1796 of the family's 1831-position model. The record is from RNAcentral.
CCCUUAGAUGUUCUGGGCCGCACGCGUGCUACACUGAACGGUUCAAUGGGUGAGGUAGUGCGAAAGCAUGACCCAAUCUCUAAAUCCGUUCGUGCUGGGGAUAGAAGCUUGCGAUUAUCCUUCUUGAACGAGGAAUACCUUGUAGGCGUGAGUCAUCAUCUCGCGCCGAAUACGUCCCUGCCCUUUGUACACACCGCCCGUCGCUCCUACCGAUUGAGUGGUCCGGUGAGGCUUUGGGAGGACUGGAUGGAUUGUGUUUCACAAACUAUUCGGGCUGAACUUAGUCAAACCUUAUCACUUAGAGGAAGGAGAAGUCGUAACA